This 380-nucleotide ribosomal RNA is filed under the name uncultured eukaryote. Its description in RNAcentral is "partial 18S ribosomal RNA". It matches the Rfam family "Eukaryotic small subunit ribosomal RNA", at positions 592 to 976 of the family's 1831-position model. The record is from RNAcentral.
CAAUAGCGUAUAUUAAAGUUGUUGCGGUUAAAAAGCUCGUAGUUGGAUUUCUGCUGAGAACGACCGGUCCGCCCUUUGGGUGUGUAUCUGGCUCUUUCUUGGCAUCUUCUUGGUGAACGUUGCUGCACUUGACUGUGUGGAGCGCUACCCAGGACUUUUACUUUGAGGAAAUUAGAGUGUUUCAAGCAGGCAUACGCCUUGAAUACAUUAGCAUGGAAUAAUAAGAUAGGACCUCGGUUCUAUUUUGUUGGUUUCUAGGACCGAAGUAAUGAUUAAUAGGGAUAGUUGGGGGCAUUAGUAUUUAAUUGUCAGAGGUGAAAUUCUUGGAUUUAUGAAAGACUAACAUCUGCGAAAGCAUUUGCCAAGGAUGUUUUCAUUGA